GACGAACGCUGGCGGCGUGCUUAACACAUGCAAGUCGAACGGUGAAGCGCCUUCCUUUUUGGUGGGUGUGGAUGAGUGGCGAACGGGUGAGUAACACGUGAGUAACCUGCCCCCUUCUUCUGGAUAACCGCAUGAAAGUGUGGCUAAUACGGGAUAUUCUGGGUCUGUCGCAUGAUGGGUCUGGGAAAGAUAUUGUUUCGGUGGGGGAUGGGCUCGCGGCCUAUCAGCUUGUUGGUGGGGUGAUGGCCUACCAAGGCGGUGACGGGUAGCCGGCCUGAGAGGGUGGACGGUCACACUGGGACUGAGACACGGCCCAGACUCCUACGGGAGGCAGCAGUGGGAAUAUUGCACAAUGGGCGCAAGCCUGAUGCAGCGACGCCGCGUGAGGGAUGGAGGCCUUCGGGUUGUGAACCUCUUUCGCCAGUGAAGCAGGCCUGCCUCGUUUGUGGGUGGGUUGACGGUAGCUGGAUAAGAAGCGCCGGCUAACUACGUG
RNAcentral lists this ribosomal RNA (493 nucleotides) under uncultured bacterium. RNAcentral describes it as "partial 16S ribosomal RNA". It matches the Rfam family "Bacterial small subunit ribosomal RNA", at positions 28 to 507 of the family's 1533-position model. The record is from RNAcentral.